Molecule: long non-coding RNA, 227 nt
Organism: Argiope bruennichi
Lineage: Eukaryota; Metazoa; Arthropoda; Arachnida; Araneae; Araneidae
Exons: 3
Source: RefSeq, a predicted model, not a curated record
GAUUAUUUCUGGACGGCCAUAUAAAAAUGCAUGGGCUCAUAGACUUGCAAAAAACCUAUUCCAGAAAUCGUUGUUAUUCAUCCCCAUAUUCCUGGUCUGCUCCGUCUACUAAAAACUGAUGUAAUUUAUAAACCUGGACAUUUCGUUAUUGUAAGGUUUGCAGCACUUUUGGGUUCCGACUAGAGGCAGAUUUCCAACCAGGCAGAGGGAGUUCAAUGUGUUCUGCC